AGGAAGCGAGAAGUCGACGCGCCGAAAGGCGUCCGGCCCUCCGCGAGCACCCGCGGGGGAUCGGGUUCCGGACCCGGUCCGAUCCCGUUCCCACCGAGGGGCUGUCCGCGAUCAUGGAGGUGUCCUCGGACGGCGUCGAAUCCUUCUCCAGUCCGCGACGCUACGGCUUGGAUGGUCCACCCGACCCGUCUUGAAACACGGACCAAGGAGUCUAACAUGCGCGCGAGUCGUUGGGUCGGACACGCUCCGCUAAACCCAUAGGCGCAAUGAAAGUGAAGGCCGCCGUCGGGCGGCCGAGGGAGGACGGGGCCGCUCGCGCGUUCCGGCGCGCGACGGUCUCCGCACCCCCGGGGCGUCUGAUCCCUCAUCGCGAGGGGAGGCGCACCCAGAGCGCACACGUUGGGACCCGAAAGAUGGUGAACUAUGCCUGGCCAGGACGAAGUCAGGGGAAACCCUGAUGGAGGUCCGUAGCGAUUCUGACGUGCAAAUCGAUCGUCGGAGCUGGGUAUAGGGGCGAAAGACUAAUCGAACCAUCUAGUAGCUGGUUCCCUCCGAAGUUUCCCUCAGGAUAGCUCGCGCUCGGAGGAGAGUCUCAUCCGGUAAAGCGAAUGAUUAGAGGCCUUGGGGCCGAAACGGCUUCAACCUAUUCUCAAACUUUAAAUGGGUGAGAACUCCGGCUUGCUCGACUUGUCGAAGCCGGAGACGGGGCUCCGGCCCCCGGGAUCGGAGUGCGUAGUGGGCCACUUUUGGUAAGCAGAACUGGCGCUGUGGGAUGAACCAAACGACGGGUUAAGGCGCCCGAAUCGACGCUCAUGGGAAACCAUGAAAGGUGUUGGUUGCUUAAGACAGCAGGACGGUGGCCAUGGAAGUCGGAAUCCGCUAAGGAGUGUGUAACAACUCACCUGCCGAAGCAACUAGCCCUGAAAAUGGAUGGCGCUGAAGCGUCGUGCCUAUACCCGGCCGUCGCGGCAGGGCGGACCCGCGAGGGUGCCGUUCGAUGCGGCGACGAGUAGGAGGGUCGCGGCGGCGCGCGCAGAAGGGUCUGGGCUCGAGCCUGCCUGGAGCCGCCGCCGGUGCAGAUCUUGGUGGUAGUAGCAAAUACUCCAGCGAGGCCCUGGAGGACUGAUGUGGAGAAGGGUUUCGUGUGAACAGCCGUUGCACACGAGUCAGUCGAUCCUAAGCCCUAGGAGAAAUCCGACGCCAACGGCGACGGGAAAAAUGAAAGAGAAAGAAACCCGUUGAUCGGGCGAAAGGGAAUCCGGUUCCUAUUCCGGAACCCGGCAGCGGAACCGCUGUUUGUCGGGCCCUCACAAGGGGUUCGUCAGGGUAACCUAAAAGGGCCCGGAGACGCCGUCGGGAGCCCCGGAAAGAGUUUUCUUUUCUGCAUGAGCGUUCGAGUUCCCUG
This 1405-nucleotide ribosomal RNA is filed under the name Mecistogaster lucretia. Its description in RNAcentral is "eukaryotic LSU rRNA". It matches the Rfam family "Eukaryotic large subunit ribosomal RNA", at positions 592 to 1722 of the family's 3401-position model. Lineage: Eukaryota; Metazoa; Arthropoda; Insecta; Odonata; Coenagrionidae. The record is from RNAcentral.